AACGCAAUUUGCACCGGGUGAUGCAUGUCAUCCGGUAUACUUGUUUGAGUAUCUGAAACACUCUCACUCCCCUCUCGGGGCGGAGCGGACAGGUUGAGAUUCUAGACCUCUAAGCAAUUAGAACUAGUCUCUUGAAAGAGACAUGUCUCGCUUUCAAGCGUGGACCGCGCAUCAUACGAAGAAGGUGUGUGACUAUUGGGAUAACAUCCUAACAAUCGUCCCUCUUCUUGAUAAGAAGUAUGUGUCGCUGGAACAUUGUGGACAUGCAGGGAAAAGAGUGUGUAACCGCGCUCUAAUCCAUACUAUCCUCCUUGUCUAUGUACGUGGAAGACGGUCGUUCUCUGGAUCUCAAAUCAAGUAAGGAUACCCGCUGAACUUAA
RNAcentral lists this unclassified non-coding RNA (380 nucleotides) under uncultured fungus. RNAcentral describes it as "partial contains internal transcribed spacer 2 and large subunit ribosomal RNA". Lineage: Eukaryota; Fungi. The record is from RNAcentral.